GGACAUUGCUCUGUGUGACGUAAGUAGGAUAUUUUCCUCCAUCAAUACCCAUUGUUUGUAUAUACUGUACAAUUGGAUUUCCUAUUUUGCCUUUUUUCGCAUAUACCUGCUCCAAAGACUUAUAUCCAUAGACGGGGAUGAUUCCGUCCAGACCUUCAUAAUAGAGCCAAGACAGCUCUAAAACGUGUGAGUGCGCGCUUUUACCCAUUUGUACUCCCUUCACAAACAUCUCCUGUACUGCACCAUAAUUUGUUUAUUGCUUUGUAUUUAUAGAUUCAUAUACUAAGAACCUUAUCUGUAUCGUAUAUAUAAUCUUAAGCGCUGAUCACCUCCUGUCUGUUAUCUUUACCCAUUUUUGGUGAUUUGCUGCUCAUUAUCGAUAUCGAGCGCUUAUACUUACCAGUUUUUCCAUUACCUGUUAGUAUUUAUAG
Pelobates cultripes (western spadefoot toad) is the source of this 431-nucleotide non-coding RNA. The record is from the annotation of a GenBank genome assembly. Lineage: Eukaryota; Metazoa; Chordata; Amphibia; Anura; Pelobatidae.